Molecule: non-coding RNA, 21 nt
Filed under: Caenorhabditis elegans
Lineage: Eukaryota; Metazoa; Nematoda; Chromadorea; Rhabditida; Rhabditidae
Source: RNAcentral
UUUUUGAUUUUGAAAAUUGGC